CAUCUCUUCACACAAUUAUCUUAGUUUCCUUGCUUUAGCUCAUAGUUUCUCAUAGUUUCUUAGCUUUGUGUAGAGAUAGGUGUAUAGCUUCUUGGGUUCUUGGUUUUUCCUUACCAAAACCAAAGUAUCUAUACACUUUUGAUCAAUCACAACUCCAGUUUCAUAUAUCCAAGCCUUGUUCAUCAUAGUUCUAAGAGACUUGUGAAAUUGUAUGGUGUUUUUGGUUUCCUUCUCUUAUUAGAAACUAAAAAUACCAUACUAGGAAGCAUUUCUCACUUUGUUUUGUAUCUUGGAGGGUAGAAAGUGUUCUUAGAGGUACGGUUUGGUUCUUUUUGGAACCAAACCCAUGGGUAUUCCUUUCUUUCUAUACUCUUUUCUCUCUUUACUUGAUGCUUUACAAGUUUAUGGCUUUAAUUUAUGUAACUAUGGGUUGUGAGUAGAAUAAAUUUGGGGCUAGGGUUUAGCUCUAGUCAAACUCAUGUAUAAAACAAUAUUUAUCUCAUUGAUCAAAGUCUUUAUUUUUUAUUAGCUUAGUUUAUUUUAUUUUUGAGCAACCUAGUUUACUUUAUAAAUAACUAAAACCAACCAAGCCGUUCACUACCAUAAUUGUUAAUACUAUCCUUGCAAUCUUUAGCUUCCAAAGGGCUAAGGUUGUGAACUUAUAAAAAGUUAGAUUGCAUGUUUUUCUAGGCUUUCUUGCGGAAACUAGCUAGGUUUGAGUUUCCCCCAACCCUUUGGGUACGAUUCUCCGCACUUCCCUAUAUUAAAACUUGGCCUCCAAUGCUUGGGAGUAAGUAACAUCACACACAACUUUGCACAUAUUUUCAUACUCGUGAUGCACGCAACAAGUUUUUGGCGCCGUUGCCGGGGAUUGAGUACUUUGGGUAAGUAA
Molecule: long non-coding RNA, 892 nt
Filed under: Rosa chinensis
Lineage: Eukaryota; Viridiplantae; Streptophyta; Magnoliopsida; Rosales; Rosaceae
Description: sRNA RchiOBHm_Chr4g0405881
Source: RNAcentral